This 301-nucleotide ribosomal RNA is filed under the name uncultured bacterium. RNAcentral describes it as "partial 16S ribosomal RNA". It matches the Rfam family "Bacterial small subunit ribosomal RNA", at positions 509 to 808 of the family's 1533-position model. The record is from RNAcentral.
CAGUAGCCACGGUAAAACGUAGGGGGCGAGCGUUGUCCGAAGUUACUGGGCGUAAAGCGCGCGUAGGCGGCUUCUUAAGUCUGAGGUGAAAGGUUCAACGCUUAACGUGAACAGUGCCUUGGAUACUGGGGAGCUUGAGUAUGGGAGAGGGCAGUGGAAUGGCUGGUGUAGCGGUGAAAUGCGUAGAUAUCAGUCGGAACACCCAUGGCGAAGGCAGCUGCCUGGCCUAAUACUGACGCUGAGGUGCGAAAGCGUGGGGAGCGAACGGGAUUAGAUACCCCAGUAGUCCCUGUCUCUUAUA